Long non-coding RNA from Perognathus longimembris pacificus (Pacific pocket mouse), 484 nucleotides. RefSeq lists it as uncharacterized. NCBI's taxonomy places the organism in Eukaryota, Metazoa, Chordata, Mammalia, Rodentia, Heteromyidae. The record is from RefSeq and is a predicted model, not a curated record. The transcript has 4 exons.
CUAUUUUUCUUAAUAUUUAGAAAAAUGAAAUCUAAACAAACAAACAAAAGUAUUUAGUGAAAAUAUAUGCCCAUCAAGAAAAUUUUAUAAAGGUUAUACUCCAAGCCAGGAAAGGAAAGGGAGAGGGAAAAGAGAAAGGGAGAACGUGAGAGAAAAGAAAAGGGAAAGGGAGAAAGUCUGAAAUUCAAGGACGAUAUCUGCAAACACAAGAGUAAAAAAAUGCCAACUGAAAAUAGGAUAACGCUAUCUAAAUUGUGUUUUAAAAUGGCAAAACCAAUGUUAGGUUGUAUUUAGAUUGGUCAUAGUUACUUGGAUUGUCCAAGAAAUAUGUGGAUUAACUGUGAAGUUGAAGUACUACUAUAUUUGGGGCUCCAGUUCAAGGAUAACUGUCAACAGAUUAUAAUGUACAUCUUCAAAACAAAGUGAGGCUGAUUGCGUCAGGAUUCAAAUCCAGAAUUCCAAGUUCCCCAAACUAUUCCCAAAA